AGAGUUUGAUCAUGGCUCAGAUUGAACGCUGGCGGCAGGCCUAACACAUGCAAGUCGAGCGGUAGCACAGAGAGCUUGCUCUCGGGUGACGAGCGGCGGACGGGUGAGUAAUGUCUGGGAAACUGCCUGAUGGAGGGGGAUAACUACUGGAAACGGUAGCUAAUACCGCAUAAUGUCGCAAGACCAAAGUGGGGGACCUUCGGGCCUCAUGCCAUCAGAUGUGCCCAGAUGGGAUUAGCUAGUAGGUGGGGUAACGGCUCACCUAGGCGACGAUCCCUAGCUGGUCUGAGAGGAUGACCAGCCACACUGGAACUGAGACACGGUCCAGACUCCUACGGGAGGCAGCAGUGGGGAAUAUUGCACAAUGGGCGCAAGCCUGAUGCAGCCAUGCCGCGUGUGUGAAGAAGGCCUUCGGGUUGUAAAGCACUUUCAGCGGGGAGGAAGGCGGUGAGGUUAAUAACCUCACCGAUUGACGUUACCCGCAGAAGAAGCACCGGCUAACUCCGUGCCAGCAGCCGCGGUAAUACGGAGGGUGCAAGCGUUAAUCGGAAUUACUGGGCGUAAAGCGCACGCAGGCGGUCUGUCAAGUCGGAUGUGAAAUCCCCGGGCUCAACCUGGGAACUGCAUUCGAAACUGGCAGGCUAGAGUCUUGUAGAGGGGGGUAGAAUUCCAGGUGUAGCGGUGAAAUGCGUAGAGAUCUGGAGGAAUACCGGUGGCGAAGGCGGCCCCCUGGACAAAGACUGACGCUCAGGUGCGAAAGCGUGGGGAGCAAACAGGAUUAGAUACCCUGGUAGUCCACGCCGUAAACGAUGUCGAUUUGGAGGUUGUGCCCUUGAGGCGUGGCUUCCGGAGCUAACGCGUUAAAUCGACCGCCUGGGGAGUACGGCCGCAAGGUUAAAACUCAAAUGAAUUGACGGGGGCCCGCACAAGCGGUGGAGCAUGUGGUUUAAUUCGAUGCAACGCGAAGAACCUUACCUGGUCUUGACAUCCACAGAACUUAGCAGAGAUGCUUUGGUGCCUUCGGGAACUGUGAGACAGGUGCUGCAUGGCUGUCGUCAGCUCGUGUUGUGAAAUGUUGGGUUAAGUCCCGCAACGAGCGCAACCCUUAUCCUUUGUUGCCAGCGGUUCGGCCGGGAACUCAAAGGAGACUGCCAGUGAUAAACUGGAGGAAGGUGGGGAUGACGUCAAGUCAUCAUGGCCCUUACGACCAGGGCUACACACGUGCUACAAUGGCAUAUACAAAGAGAAGCGACCUCGCGAGAGCAAGCGGACCUCAUAAAGUAUGUCGUAGUCCGGAUUGGAGUCUGCAACUCGACUCCAUGAAGUCGGAAUCGCUAGUAAUCGUAGAUCAGAAUGCUACGGUGAAUACGUUCCCGGGCCUUGUACACACCGCCCGUCACACCAUGGGAGUGGGUUGCAAAAGAAGUAGGUAGCUUAACCUUCGGGAGGGCGCUUACCACUUUGUGAUUCAUGACUGGGGUGAAGUCGUAACAAGGUAACCGUAGGGGAACCUGCGGUUGGAUCACCU
This 1528-nucleotide ribosomal RNA is filed under the name Klebsiella pneumoniae. Its description in RNAcentral is "bacterial SSU rRNA". It matches the Rfam family "Bacterial small subunit ribosomal RNA". The record is from RNAcentral. Lineage: Bacteria; Pseudomonadati; Pseudomonadota; Gammaproteobacteria; Enterobacterales; Enterobacteriaceae.